This 497-nucleotide ribosomal RNA is filed under the name uncultured bacterium. Its description in RNAcentral is "partial 16S ribosomal RNA". It matches the Rfam family "Bacterial small subunit ribosomal RNA", at positions 28 to 507 of the family's 1533-position model. The record is from RNAcentral.
GAUGAACGCUGGCGGCGUGCCUAAUACAUGCAAGUCGAGCGAACAGACGAGGAGCUUGCUCCUCUGACGUUAGCGGCGGACGGGUGAGUAACACGUGGAUAACCUACCUAUAAGACUGGGAUAACUUCGGGAAACCGGAGCUAAUACCGGAUAAUAUAUUGAACCGCAUGGUUCAAUAGUGAAAGACGGUUUUGCUGUCACUUAUAGAUGGAUCCGCGCCGCAUUAGCUAGUUGGUAAGGUAACGGCUUACCAAGGCAACGAUGCGUAGCCGACCUGAGAGGGUGACGGCCAAAACGGGAACUGAGACCGGACCCAGCCCCAUGCGGGGGGAGGAGUGGGGAAUUCUUCCGAAGAGGGAGAAGGCCGGAGGGAGCAGCGCCGGGGGAGUAAGAAAGUUUUUGGAAUCUAAAAACUUUUUUAUUAGGAAAAAAAAAAUGUGAAAUAAACUAUGCAGGUCUUGAGGUACCAUAAUAAAAAGCCCAGGGCAAACUCCGUG